This is a long non-coding RNA of Gallus gallus (chicken), 2562 nucleotides long. Lineage: Eukaryota; Metazoa; Chordata; Aves; Galliformes; Phasianidae. The record is from Ensembl.
CUGAUAUGUAGCCUGAUUAGUGGGAGAUAGGAGGGACUGAUUCUUCACAGCCUUGAAGGGGAUAUUACUGUUUGCACAUGGCUUUAGCAUGCUGCCAGUUUAACUGGUUAUUUGUGAAGUUUCUCUAUCAGGAGCAGUGGGGACACAAAGUGCAGUGUAAAUCAGGCAUGGUGACAUCUGCUCUCUCUUCUGCCUUUCUUCUUGAUGGUGUGUAACAUUGUACAGCCUGAUAUGAGUGAAAAGAUGAGUGCUUCAAUCUGAGCAACUGAGGAAGAACAAAAUCUAACAACUCACUGAUAUCUUGGGCACUCACAAGAUGGAUAAGGCUCUAAAAGUACUUUUCUGCAUCACAUGCAAUGGGAAUGAAUUGGGAAAGUGAAGAGACAUUUGAGAAGGGAAAAUUUUUCCCUGCAGUCCUGAGGGUGAGAAGCUUCCUUUCUUGAAAUUAAAGUUGGAAUUUCCAUGUAAGUAACUGAUCUCUGGAACUGAAGCUUUAAGAAGAGCACUGUCAGAAGAUUUGGAGUAAACUCUCAAGAAAUGAUAACACUGGAAUUUAUGUAAGCAAGUGUCAUUCAUUGCUUGGGGAUUCACUUAGUGAUGCAAGUUUAGGAACAUGAGAAGAUGGUCCUUAGAAGUCAAAUUCAGUCAAGAAUUCAGAUGGAAGAGAGUAAUAAUAAUGAUAAUGGCGUAAAUGUUAAGUCAAAGUGAUGCAGGAUAUAAUUAUUUCAUAGUGUGAAUUAAUUUGCUGCUUUGCCAUGUCAGUAAUGACUUGAAGCAACCUCUGAACUAUAUUUUCUUGACUGAGAGCUCCAUAAUUGGAUCUCAUAGCAUGGUGGGUCCACUGCAGAAGUGAAUCUUGUAAGUUUUAGGGGGAUUGCAAGAUGAGGUGUCAGACAAAAUACUUUCUAGCAUUGCUGUUUUUAUUAAAUUCUCUUUUGAAUGUAUAAUUUUUUAUGCAUUUCAGUGAAAGAAGAAAACCUAUCAAGUUUUCCUUGAAAUAAAACCCUGACAGUUCUUACAUCUUACAGACAGUAGACGUAUUUAACAUCUUUGAUAAACUGAUUUUCAUUUUUUUCCCCAACUAAAAUAUAAAUAAUGAAUAAUAAUAAUUUUUUUUUUUCCCUAAAAUGUUGAGAAAUAAAACUGCAGGUUAUUUUUCAGCCCAAACUACGUAUUAGAAAACUUUCUAUGUCUCUUCAUAUAUGGUGCAUUGAAGCUUAGUCCAACUCAGUUUUCUGUCCCAUGCUCUGGCCUUACUUCAAAUACAGUAAUGCCACAGGCUGCAUUGUUUUUCUCAUUAUGUAUUGAACCCAGAGGAUUUUCUCCACUUGUGAGAUCUGAUCAAAAUCACUCCAUGCAUCAGACCAAGAUUUGUUCCUUUUGGUGACGUCUCUAGGAAAACCCUGGAGAACUCUGAGUGCUCAUUCUGGUAGCAGAAGUUGCACAGGUCUCCCACACACUUGAGCCAGGGAGAGCCAGGUCUGGGCCACGGAGGGCUAUGAAGGCAGAAUUUAUUGUGACAGAUUCCCUGUCAAUGGUGGUGUAAGCCAAAAGGUCCCCUGUCGGAAAUGAGAGUGUUAUCUGGGAUAUGCCUGUCAGAGAAACUGGGGGAGAAGCACACCCUACCCUGGAUAAGUGCCUAUAAACAGCAAAGGAAAUGGAAGGGCUCAGGGACUGGAUGAAAACUGUGUCAGGAAAUCAGUGUGACUCCAGUCAGGCCAUGGCGUUGGAAGUAUCUGAUCAUUACAUCGUAUUACAGCAAAUGAAACGUUUCUCUCUUAAGAGAAAAAAAAUUACCUACACCAGCAAGUUUUGCUUUUCAGGCUUUUGAACUGUGUGUUUUUUUUUGUGGCAAUCCCUGGCCUUUAAACUUCUGAAAACAAUAGUUCAUGCUCUUCCACAUUCUUCAAUUGGAAAACAAGGUUUCCAGGUUUUUGGCGGAUCUCCAUUUCCCACUACUGCAUGAGCCAAUUAUUUGGUAUUGAUGCUGAAGUAAGCUGAAAUGAAGAAACUCUCCUCUUGGCACCUGAAGAACAGAUCAGCCCUGCCAAGAGCUGGUUUAUUGCUUCAACAACAGCUGGGUUUGGUGCUCAGACAGCGACUUCUUUAAUGUCACCCAUUUGACUUGAAAACAGCAGUAAGUGUGCACUUGCUUAAGGACUAUUUUAAUUAAGUUUGAUUGUUUUCAUGUAUUAUAUUUAGGGGUAAAUACAGCUUGUUUUAAUUUAAAAUUAAACUGAAAACAAAUUGAUUGAGAAGAAUAAAAUUUUAAGUUGUUUAAAUGCAACUGAAACAAAACCAAAUACUUUUUUUUUAUUCCAUACAUUUUUAAAUCUAUCUUGCUACUGGGCAGAAGAUAAGUAGUGUGUACAAGAUGUGAUCAUUUUACGGUGGAACACUUUGUCCCUGGAGGCAUUCAGUGCCAGGCUGGAUGAGGCCCUGCACAGACUGAUCUGGUAAGUAACAACCCUGCCCAUGGCAGGAGGGUGGAACUAGUUGAUCUUCAGGGUGCCUUCCAACCCAAGCCAUUCUCUGAUUCUUUGAUUCCAUGAUACUAUGAUU